UACGUAGGGGGCGAGCGUUGUCCGGAAUCAUUGGGCGUAAAGCGCGCGCAGGCGGUCUCUUAAGUCUGAUGUGAAAGCCCACGGCUCAACCGUGGAGGGUCAUUGGAAACUGGGGGACUUGAGUGCAGGAGAGGAGAGCGGAAUUCCUGGUGUAGCGGUGAAAUGCGUAGAGAUCAGGAGGAACACCGAUGGCGAAGGCAGCUCUCUGGCCUGUAACUGACGCUGAGGCGCGAAAGCGUGGGGAGCAAACAGGAUUAGAUACCCUGGUAGUCCACGCCGUAAACGAUGAGUGCUAGGUGUUAGGGGCUUAGACGCCUUUAGUGCCGAAGUUAACACAUUAAGCACUCCGCCUGGGGAGUACGGUCGCAAGACUGAA
RNAcentral lists this ribosomal RNA (376 nucleotides) under uncultured bacterium. RNAcentral's name for it is "bacterial SSU rRNA". It matches the Rfam family "Bacterial small subunit ribosomal RNA", at positions 524 to 898 of the family's 1533-position model. The record is from RNAcentral.